ACACUGCAGUCCAGUGUCAUUGCUGUGUGAAUUCUCUGCAAGUUUUCCGCUAACUCGCGACACGUCUCGCAGGGGUUUGCAGCCAGACGUUAGAGGAGGGGAACGCGGGUAGGCUACCACCCCAGGCAGGGACAGACCUCCGUGUCCUAGGCACAGCACACCUGCGACCCUGACAAGACAAAUGACGCGCCUGCAGUCAUUUCCAUCAGGAUCCAGACGCUUGGCCAACUGGCGGGCGAGGUCCUGCACUGGCUGGGCCACCACUCAGAGGGCGCUCAGGAGGAGCCUGGGGACAGCACUGAGCAGGGUGCAGGCGGCCGUGCUGGUCUCCCACCUCCGGAUGUGAGGCUCCCUUCCCAAGAGCUCCUAACUCUGCCGUAUCCUGUGUGGUUAGUGGCAAUUCUAGGCUAAGUGCCUGACACGCUUAGUGCCUCAUCGUGUGACAAAAAGAUGAAGGAUGGAAAACAGGGCAUAGUUUUUUCACUUUCUCAUUAUCAAAGCCUUAAUUUUUACUCUGAGACUUUGGACAAGCCUUACCGUUUCUCUAGCUGCUUCCAACUUUACUACUUUGUAAGCACUUGGCUUUGCUUUCUAAGUAGACAUGCCAACCUAGGAACAAAUACCCAGAGGCUCACUGAUACUUACUUAAUGGGGGUGACGACAUACGUACUUAGGGAACAGAGUUCAGAGCAAAGAUUAGGCAAAAGCAUCAAGUUCCCCAGGGUGAGCUUCAAAAACUAUACGAAAUAAACGUUUUUCUCAAGGAGACCGCUGAAAAUAUUUAGACCUCUCCCCGACUCUUAAGAGGACAGGGCUAAGUCCCGAGCUUCAGACAACGCUCCUAGAAGACCUUCAGGGUCACAGUCCUCUCGCUAGUCCUGCACAUGACUCCAGUCUAUAAUGGAAAGCUAGAGACAAUUUUUUUUUUUUUUUUUUUUUUUGCGGUACGGGGGCCUCUCACUGUUGUGGCCUCUCCCGCUGCGGAGCACAGGCUCCGGACACGCAGGCUCAGCGGCCAUGGCUCACGGGCCCAGCCGCUCCGCGGCAUGUGGGAUCUUCCCGGACCGGGGCACGAACCCGUGUCCCCUGCAUCGGCAGGUGGACUCUCAACCGCUGUGCCACCAGGGAAGCCCUAGAGACAAUUUUUUUAAGGAUGUAAAUCCAAGCACUGCACAAUUAACUAUUGCAUUCUAUACUGUACUAGAAAUUACUUCUCCCACACACCUCUUGGCGCCAGGGAAAUAAAGGGGAAUGUUUUUAUUUAGUAAAAAAUAUAUACUAAUUUCUCAGUUCAGCAAGUAUGCAAGCUGAAGAUUAUGCCAAGGCUAAAAUCAUAGUGUACAGAAGAAGUAUGUCUGUAUGUGAGUGCCCGUAUGUAUCUCUGGGUGCGUUUAACCAGAGAUUUUUUGCUUUUUAAAAAAAGAUAGCUUGUUUCUACUUUUAAACUAGACCUUUGACGUUAUAUAAUCAAAUGAAAUACACUGAAAUAUCAUAAGAAUAUCUUUUCCAUCUAUAUAACUUUAAGAUAGUGGACUUUUUAUGUUUUGCUAAAGUAAAUAUUAGUAAACCAACCUGUAAAGUUAAGUUUUUAAGUUAGUAAACUCAGAAUGAUAAUUCUCUCCAGCUUUUCAAAAAUUCUAAUUCUCUGCUUCUUUAAUUCUUUAUGAAUCUUGAUUAAGUCAGGAAGAAAGGGAAGUUCAGUAUUUGAUGAUAAUCUCUGACUUCUGACAAACUCUUGACGUUACAUAUUCCAAAUGAAACGUGCACCAAAAUACUGGAAACUCAAAGAAAGCAACUCGAUCAUUGUUCUAUCAAACUCAAGAAUUCCCCCAUGACUGGGCACGCAAGUGUUACCUACUGCAGGAGGCCUUCCUUGAGCUCGCUCUGAUUUCCGUCACCUUUGUUUUUACACACUGCACUGUAUGCACUUCCUUGGUAGCAUAAAACGUAUUAUUUUAUAAUUAUCCAUUUGUACGUCUGCAUCCUCUUAAACUGGGAGUGCCUCUGGUAACGGACAGGGUCCGUUUGGCAAGUAACCCCACUGCCUAGAGCAGUUCUUGCUUGCCGGAGCAGGCCUCACUGGAUGUUGGCAGAAUGAAUAAACGAACAAUUGGCAUUUUAUGAUAUUGGCCUGCACAGGAGAAUGUGUGUAAGUCUCACUGCCUGAGGCCCUGGGCUCCCAGCUCCCACAAGCGGCAAGUUAGUUAAAAAAGCUAAGGAUGAAUCUGGAUUUCCUGAAUGAUCCCACAGCUUGGGGAUCACCUCCAACUUGGAGGAAUGUCUUUUAAGGAUCCCGUUUCCAAUAAUCCUAAAGUCUGCUGCAAGGUGUUGAGACUGGGUUAAUGCUAAUUUUUUUGUUUCAACUUGAUUUCACCAGAGUGAAUAUUCUUAUAGAAUACACAAAAGUAGAAACUCACAGGGAGAUGGGGACACAGCUGGGUGUAUGAAGCAACUGCAAUGGCAUUUCCCACCAUUGGGAAAUGAGAAAGUAUUAAGUGAAACUCAUGUCUUUCAAGGAACAGAAACAAGUUUUCAGAGGGCUUUUGUGUUCACAGAGGAGUCUUUUCCUGAUGGGUGGGGUCUUUUCCUUAUAGUCCGCUGCCCCACUCUAGUUCAGGGUACUGAGAGUUCCCUAGCAUUUGAGCUACACCAUGGAUUGUCUAAGCUCAGUGAUCUAAUAGGAAUUUCCUUUAAGGGCAGCAGGCUAAUGUUAAGUUUCGCUGUGCAGAAAGAAACCCUCUCAAAAGUCUCUUCACGUUGGAGUCAACGGCAUCCUCCCUGUCUGGGCACUGCGCUCCAUUAGCUUUACCUUCCUGCAGGGAGGGCCGUGACUUUAGAACUUCCCUUCAGAACUGAAAGCAAGUCCUGCGAGCUUUCACAGACACUAUGUGCAGGAGCAAGUCUAAUCAAACAUUUCAUCUGUCUUCGGCUUUUUUAUAAGGUGGAGCCAGCACUGGCGGGACUGAAGUCUGGCAAACAAGGAGCCACGUGACGGCAUCCGUGGAGAAGCAAAGCCCCAGACUAGAGGCAGUGCUUCCGGGCACUCAUCCUGUGGAGGGGGAGGGGAGGCAGGAAGUGAUCUAUACAGGAAUUGAAGAGCAAGCACAUCGUGGACAAGGCGUUUUCAAGAUCAUACAGGUGCCUUAUAGUUAUACAGAGCCACUCAGACCUAGAAUGAGGACGACAAAUUAGUAAACAAAAAAGAGACCCGAGUCCCUUGACUAACACUGGGAGGCAGUGCAGCCCGCGGAAGCACAAAGCAGACCAGGACGUUGGGACCUGAUGCGGCCCGGGAGCGUAGAGGCCAGCAAAGCACCCCUUUCACUUGUGCGGAGGAACCAGUCUCCAGCUUAAACCUACUGCCCCGGGCCAUACAGCACAGGGAGGGCUAAUGUGAGAGCCCAGUGUGGCCUCACUCCUAGUCUAGUCUAAGCUCUUUCUACAACAGGGUGCUCUGUUGGCCUGGUCUUUCAUUUAGAACAAUACACACAAUACCCUCCAGGGAAAACAGCUGGUUAUUACUGAGUGUCACUUCUCAGAAGGGCCUUUCAUGAUCUUCAAGCCAAAGCCGACCCUCAAGUCACUCCCUGUCUUCUUUUUAUUAUAGCACUUACACUUUCCUGUUUGCUUUAAAUCAGCUGCUCUCCCCGAGAUGUAAGCAGUACAGAGCGGGGACCUUCUGAGCCUUGUUCGAUACUGUAUUUCCGGCAUUAUGGAGCUAACUGGCAUUUAUAAAGUGCUCAAUAAAUGCGGAAUAAUGACUAAACAAGUCAACGACUACACAGAUAGAAGUUUCUGAAUUCCUAAAACAAAGAAGGGGAUGGGGAAACGGUAGGGAUAGUAUCAUUCCUAAUUUGCGGAAAUCUUUAUGAAUGCAAAUCUGACCUUCUCUCUGCUUAGUAAUUCUUAUCAGAUGACUGCCAGUGCCGCUCUCUACAACAGGAUAGUGGGGAGGACAGAACUUCAAAGGCUGCAUGACUGAUCCAGCAACGAGAGGGGAGAGGAACACUGGAGACCCUGAUUAAGUGCAGCCCAGCCGACGGGAGCCUCACUGGUUGCUGAUCCCUCUGGGAGCAACACAGAGGAUGAACUGGCAGAAAGGAAGUCUGGAAGCAGGAAAAUUAUCCAAAGGCUUAUUACAAUAAUCCAGAUGGGAAGUCUGAGCACCUGAUCCGGGGCUGUGAAACUGCUGAGUGUGAGAGGAAAGACUCGAGACAGACCCAAACGAUAGAGCUGACGGGACUGGGAUGUGGGUUCCUAGAGAGAACAGAAUCAAAGGGAGCGCCUCUGAGAAGAACUUUCACAGUGUAGACACACCGUGAACUCAAAGCCUAGCAAAGACUGAGGCAAUUUACAAAGCCAGGUUCCCGCCAGGGAUGGUGGUCAAGUGGUCAAAAGUCAAAUAACUGCAAUAAAAAGAAAUGAGAUAAAUAUCACCUAUAAAGAUGAGAGUGAGAUCUAGCAAUGGUUACCAAUAAAGAACUUGAUAGAAUACAGUUAGUAAGUCCCCAUGCCACAUUUUUAAAUAACAGAUAAAACGAAGCAUCCCUCUCUUUCUCACUGGAAACAAAUACAUUACUUUUUAAGCCUCUGUAUAUCAUCUCAACUGAGAAAAAGUCUCUAUACCACAAAACCUUCCAGGUCCUGGGCCAGCCUGAGCUCCUCCAACGCAGCCCUGGGUUUGCAGAGUAAGAUGGCAUUUUGCCGGGUUUCGUUACUUGUUUGUUUCUGAAGCAGGCAGAUUUGCCACUGGUCAGUAAGGAAUGGCUGACAAGAGUUAGGGGAAAGAGAACAGAGAAAGAUUAAAGGGGCAAAAAGGGGAAGAAGAGAAGAGAGAGACACAUACUAUAUUGCAAAUCCAUAGCCGGUAUAAAAACCAUCAGAUGUUUUAAAGCACUGAUUUGAUUUUGGUGGCCUUUCCUCUUUAAAGGAGCAAUGCUGAAUGGCAUCAGUACAAGCAAGAAGAUUCACAAGCAAGUGCCUCUGUUUAUAACUAAUGUCAGCAGUAGGACCAGAGAGUCGUUCUUACCAUGUUUCAGAUGUAGGCAGCUGUCAUUCUUGGACCUGUACCUGCAGAAAAUUGUGUCUUUAACAAAUUUUUAUUGAAGAGGUUUUUGUACAUUCCAAAUACGUAGUAGCUACAAUAUAAUGUGGACCUGUUUGCUUUAUUUUUUAUGGUUCUUAUACCAGCCAGUCUUAUUUGUGCCGUACAAGUAGAGGCCUUAUCUUUUAUGAAAGAAAAGGGGAAAUAAACUGGACCUCACUGAUGGAUGCCUUGAAUUAACGUACACGAAAGAUAAACCCUAUCAUCAUGUUUUAUAUUUUUAAAUAACCCCAAACCAUAGAAAGGAUUCUCAAGGGGAUAUAAGGUAGCAUAUCAGAGAGUCAUCAUAAAAAACUGUAUUGUAAGGAGUUUUGCAAAUAGAAGAACAGAAGUGUUAGAGAACACAGACAACAAAAGCAAAAACAAAACCUUAAAAACAACCACAGUUAGCAACCAGGAAUCCAGGUGACAGGGUUUGCAAGAGCUUUUUAGGUGUACCUUCACACAGUCACAUUUAAAAGAAAGGUCUUUCAAACAUUUUGAAAGAAUCUCAGGAAGAAAAGCAGAUUUCAAGAAUCAUAUGUUACAGCUGAAGAAGAAAGCAGCGUGUAGAAAGAUGCAGACUACUCUUUAAAAGGUGCUUGUCAGAAGCACGAGAAUUGGCUGGAAAGUCACAUGGUGCCUACCUGAUGUAGAUUCCUGUAGUUUCUCUCUCUUCCUCUUCUUUUUCUUACCCUGGAAGAAGACAGGCACAUGUUCAUGUUAUAGACUGUACUGUGAACACACGGAUGAACGUGAUACGAAAGGACCAGCAGGUGGUCAACCAAGAGAUCAAGAUGCCUCAUUUUCUCUCUCUCUUUACCAUCUGUGCCUAGAAACAGGGCAAGAGAAAGAAAUUCUUAUCUGUGACCUCUGUCUCUAUAGCUUCGCAUUUAAUGUCAUCGGUACGGUACUGACGUAAGCAGUGGUCAUACACACACACACACACACACAGAGGAGGAUGAUGUCCUAGGGCUGUGGCCACAGACCCCUCCGCCCCCCGCCCACCUUCAAGGAAAGCCCGCUUAAUAAGGAGGCCCUCCUUUCACUGCAAAGCACCACACUUAGGACCCACUUCUGGUAGUGUCGAUGACAAAUCUUCCUCACUGUGAAUUCCACCAUCUAAUUAAAAAUCCACAGUGUUAACUGAGGCCCCCUCAGCUCCCAUGGCACAGACAAGAUGUAACUGAAGACAGUAGUAGAAGGGUAAGAUAGAACCUGAGAAAACUUAGAAGGUAAUUUUAAAGACUGAUUUAUGGCAGUUAAGGACCCUGCUUCCUAAAACAAACACAAUAACGUGAAUAUGCUUGCAAUUUAAAAUACAUUUCAAAAUCAUCUUAAUCACAAAUUUAUAAUUUUAGGUCCCUCUGAUAGUAGUUUAAUUUUCUAUUUUUCUUCAUAAUUACUUUCCCCUCAAAAAAUAAUUGUAAUAGGGCAUAGACACGGCAUAUAUUUGAUUUAUAUGAAUAGUAAAUGACCAACCUAGAUUAGGAUGGUCUUUUCAAAUAAGUGUCAUAGGACACAUAUCACAUCCAGUAUCUCUAUCUUAUGUCUGCUGUAAUAAUCACAUUCACAAAAAAUAAAACCAUAAGAUUAUAUUGAG
Long non-coding RNA from Orcinus orca (killer whale), 6686 nucleotides. RefSeq lists it as uncharacterized. The transcript is spliced from 2 exons. The record is from RefSeq and is a predicted model, not a curated record. Lineage: Eukaryota; Metazoa; Chordata; Mammalia; Artiodactyla; Delphinidae.